CAAGAAAUAACAAAACACUUCAUGAUUAUGACGUGUUAUUGGAAUGAGAGCAACCUAAACAACUCAACGAACGCAAUUGGAGGGCAAGUCUGGU
Molecule: ribosomal RNA, 94 nt
Filed under: uncultured bacterium
Lineage: Bacteria
Description: partial 16S ribosomal RNA
Rfam family: Eukaryotic small subunit ribosomal RNA
Source: RNAcentral